UACGAAGGGGGCUAGCGUUGCUCGGAAUCACUGGGCGUAAAGCGCACGUAGGCGGCUUCUUAAGUCAGGGGUGAAAUCCUGGAGCUCAACUCCAGAACUGCCCUUGAUACUGAGGAGCUCGAGUCCGGAAGAGGUGAGUGGAACUGCGAGUGUAGAGGUGAAAUUCGUAGAUAUUCGGAAGAACACCAGUGGCGAAGGCGGCUCACUGGUCCGGUACUGACGCUGAGGUGCGAAAGCGUGGGGAGCAAACAGG
Molecule: ribosomal RNA, 253 nt
Filed under: uncultured bacterium
Lineage: Bacteria
Description: partial 16S ribosomal RNA
Rfam family: Bacterial small subunit ribosomal RNA
Source: RNAcentral